ACGAACGCUGGCGGCGUGCUUCACACAUGCAAGUCGAACGGAAAGGCCCUGCUUUUGUGGGGUGCUCGAGUGGCGAACGGGUGAGUAACACGUGAGUAACCUGCCCUUGACUUUGGGAUAACUUCAGGAAACUGGGGCUAAUACCGGAUAGGAGCUCCUGCUGCAUGGUGGGGGUUGGAAAGUUUCGGCGGUUGGGGAUGGGCUCGCGGCUUAUCAGCUUGUUGGUGGGGUAGUGGCUUACCAAGGCUUUGACGGGUAGCCGGCCUGAGAGGGUGACCGGCCACAUUGGGACUGAGAUACGGCCCAGACUCCUACGGGAGGCAGCAGUGGGGAAUAUUGCACAAUGGGCGGAAGCCUGAUGCAGCAACGCCGCGUGCGGGAUGACGGCCUUCGGGUUGUAAACCGCUUUCGCCUGUGACGAAGCGUGAGUGACGGUAAUGGGUAAAGAAGCACCGGCUAACUACGUG
This 467-nucleotide ribosomal RNA is filed under the name uncultured bacterium. RNAcentral's name for it is "partial 16S ribosomal RNA". It matches the Rfam family "Bacterial small subunit ribosomal RNA", at positions 29 to 507 of the family's 1533-position model. The record is from RNAcentral.